RNAcentral lists this long non-coding RNA (1349 nucleotides) under Taeniopygia guttata (zebra finch). RNAcentral describes it as "lncRNA (ENSTGUG00000018970.1)". The record is from RNAcentral. Lineage: Eukaryota; Metazoa; Chordata; Aves; Passeriformes; Estrildidae.
CUCGUGUCACUUUCCCCAUUUUCUCUGUCUGGGAGCUUGGCUUCUCUCUCUCCCGUCUGCAGGUUCAGCUGCACGUGUGACCCUGCAGGAAGAGCCUGAAAUACCGGGAAGUGGGAGAGGACUCUUUGUCAGGAACUGCAGUGACAGGACAAGGGGGAAUGGGAUCAAACUGCAAGAGUUGGAAGAGAUUUGAUGAUGGGAAGAAGUUCUUUAUUGUGAGGGUGGUCAUCCCUGACACAGGGAUAGUGCAGAGAGGCUGUGCAUGCCCCAUCCCCAGGAACAUCCAAGGCCAGGCUGGACAGGCUCCAGAGCAACCUGGUGUGCUGGGAGGUUGCUCAGGUUGAAACCAAGUAAUCCUUAGGGGCCAUUCCAAGCCAACCCAUUCAAGGAUUUGAUCAUUCCACGACCCCCAUCUCUCCAUGUGGCGUGGCCCUGAAACUUCUGUGACAUCACGGCUCCCGGAAUGCUCCAGGUGGAAGGUUCAGGACCUGGAACGCAGCACAACAGACACUUCACCUGCUGCCAGCGGUCAGCGCUCACUCGCACUUUGCUCUGCCCAUCAGUGCUGAGCUGUUGCUGCUGCCUGGGCUUUUCCUGCCUGAAGCCAAUCCCUGCAGGAUGUGCACUGCUGCCCCAGUACAGGUACACUGCCAGGCCAUGGAGGAGAUGGAAGUGGACAUGGUGCUGGAUAAGGAAGAAAUGAUGGAGGUGGACAUGGAAGAGAUUGAUGAGGAAAUGGAAGUCGAUGUGCAGGACCCCAUCGAGGAAAUGGAAGUUGAUGUGCAGGACCCCAUCGAGGACAUGGAAGUUGAUGUGGAGGACCAGAUUGAGUACAUGGAAGUCGAUGUGGAGGACCAGAUUGAGUACAUGGAAGUGGAUGAGACGGAUGAGGAGGAGCCCAUGAUCCUUGGAUAAAGAUGGAGCCCCAGGAGCACUACAAGCAGAUGCUUCCCAUGCCAUGUCCACAGGCAGAGUGUGUCCCCUGACGCCAGGCUGGGGCUGGGCUGGGCGGCCCCGUGCAGGGACACGGUGCCCACAGGGGGCCCUGGAUUGUGGUGGCACAAGCAGCACCCCUGGCCUGCCCUGUGCCUGCCCGGAGCUGUGCCAGCCCUGCCAGCCUCUGGGGCCCAGCAGAGUCCAGCACUGCUGCUGCCUUUCCUCCAGGACUAUAUGGAGAUGUUGGCCAGAGAUGUCACCCCUCUGUAAAUAUGUUUUGAAGUUUGUUAGGUUAUAGGCUCCCAUGUAAAUAUGUUUUGAAGUUUGUUAGGUUAUAGGCUCCCAUGUAAAUAUGUUUUGAAGAUUGUUGUUGUUAUAAGGAUUGUUUUAAUAAAACAUGUUUGUAAAUCCAA